RNAcentral lists this unclassified non-coding RNA (611 nucleotides) under Hevea brasiliensis (rubber tree). The record is from RNAcentral. Lineage: Eukaryota; Viridiplantae; Streptophyta; Magnoliopsida; Malpighiales; Euphorbiaceae.
UUUUUUUUUUUUUUUUUCCCCUUUAUUUUCUAUUGUUAUGAUUUGUGCGAGAUGAGGGCAGAGGAGGAGAGGAAAGGAGAGUGCCGAUGGCUUCACGCGAUGGUUGCUGCUGUGCUGACCACGCGUUUAAUUAUUUGCACACAACAUGCAUGAAGGUGUUGGUGCUGAAUGAUAAAGGUCUGCUGCUUCCCUGUUUAAUGGUCAUUUAUACAGAGGCAUGAGAAACUUGAACCUCCGCCUGUGCGGGUAUGACGCAAGUGAGAUACCGGACAAACUAUGUCUUUGUUGCCCUGCAUGAUAUGGUGGUGUGGACUUGCUGCUCCUCUUGGCUCCCAUGACCUCUGGGUUUUCUCAGAUUCCGUGGCCUCGGUCUUUAACUUAUUAAUCUAUUUGCUAUGAAUGAAAUAUUUAUCUAUUGUUAAAAGAGAAAUGCAGUGGUCAAUAUAGAUCAGUAAUAACUGCAUAUAUAACUGCAUGUAUGUUCAACUUCCCCCUCUCAACACAUAUGUAACGAAAAGAAAAAAUAGCGCCAUGAAAUGAAGAGUUUAAACUUCAAUUAAAAUUAUUAAGACUGUGAAAUGGAAUUUGCUAACCCUUCUUUCAAAGAUUUG